CCUCAUUCAAUGAGCAGAGUGGGUGACAUUCACUUAAUGAUUUUUUUGUGUCAAAGUGCUGUAACUUGUAAAGAUUCAACUGAUGAGGAGAAAGACAGAGUAUCGUCCGCCGAUUUUCCAUCCACGGCGUGACAUUAUGGUGGGAGUGAGAGGCAGGCAUAGGGUGCUUGGCAGCACUGCCCAUGGACCCCAGCCUAUGGCUGCUGAACUCACAGUGCCUGGGGAGGGCACUUGCAUGCAGACCACCACCCUGGCCUGGAAACCUGGAGGCCAAACACAAUCAGGCCCUGAGAAGGAGGUUUGGGAAGCUUGCUGCUGACAGAACUUGCUCCAGCAACCAGAGGCAAAGGGCCUUCUUUUCCAGUCUAGGGCUGCACUUCUAUUCAUAACCACGUUGAAGAAAUUCAGAUUCAAAUGUCGACUCAACCUGGCACCUUUCUUGCAGCACAGUGGUGCUGUGUUGUGACCAUGCCGAAACUCAUUCUGGGAAUGAAACCCAGCCUUGAUUUUUUUUGAAAUUAUUUGUUGCAACUGGAAAAUGCCAGAGCCUUAAUUCUUACAGUGCUCUUACUGAUGCAGAGACUGCUACGCAAAUUUGGCACAACUUGUUGUUUCUCAUCAAGAAAAGCCUAAGACUGGAAUAAUAAGGAAAUUCCCAAUCAGGGUGAAGGUGCAUUGGCAAAACUGUUUUGGGCAGUUUAAACAGCUUAUCACACAUUGUAUACCUGGAGGAUGGGAUAAAAAUAGUUGUUCAUGCUCAUAAAUUGAAAUUGUUGCAUAGCAAUGUUAAAGACUUCUGUAUUAACCAGCUGAAAUUUAAGACCAAUGUUUCACAUUAGGAUUUCUGUAUAACAAAUGUAAGACAAGCUCAUCAUAACAUUUUUGCAGUAGGAAACAGUGGUGGUAUCAUUCCAAUAUCUAUUAUUUUGUUUCAGGAAAUGCAGUUAUCACAUUGUUUUUGUGCUAAGUCAUGGGCUAGGGAUAGCAAGGACAUUUCCUUAAUCCUAUCAGACUUCCUCCAAAUUAUGGCUAUGUUCAAUACAGUCAAAGUCACAUUACCUGAAUGUCAGGAAUUGCGUAACAACGCAUUCCUAUAAACACUUGAGCUGUUGGGUAGAGCUUCACUUCACAAAGAAGGAAGAUGAUUGCUCCUUAGAGGAACUUCCAAUUAUAUGUUGGUUAUUGCCUGAACAAACUACUUACAAUCCAAAAGGGUCACUUCAGCCUCUUUACGUGAGAGCUGUUCUUCUGCAGUCUUACAGCGUUCAGCAGGUGUAGUUGACUUCAGAUGUAUUUUUCAUGACAGGAUAGCUUGCCAGCCUCAGCGUCCUGCUCCGGACAAGAAUGGGGAAAUAUUUUCGACAAUAGCAGAGGUGUCUCUUUCUGGUGACUUCCCCUGUAGGUAAUGCAGUACAGCACACCCAUGUCACAUAUGAUACCUUAUUAACCACUUUAGAAAUCUGAGAUGGUUGCAUAUUAUAGUUAUCCAUCAUCCUCUCACUGAGCUGUGUUUGAUGUCAGUUGCUUAGCUGGUAUUUGUGAUCUCUGUUUUGGAAAGUCUAUAAAAGCUUCAUGAAAAACUUGGAA
This is a long non-coding RNA of Harpia harpyja (harpy eagle), 1587 nucleotides long. RefSeq lists it as uncharacterized. Lineage: Eukaryota; Metazoa; Chordata; Aves; Accipitriformes; Accipitridae. The transcript has 3 exons. The record is from RefSeq and is a predicted model, not a curated record.